UUAAGAAAAUGGCAAACCUACCGAAAGUUGGGGACGCAAAGCCACGGGUCUACGGGUCUAACUGACUAUGACGGCUGGGUUACCGAG
Molecule: non-coding RNA, 87 nt
Filed under: Anaerobacillus alkalilacustris
Lineage: Bacteria; Bacillati; Bacillota; Bacilli; Caryophanales; Bacillaceae
Description: c-di-GMP sequence
Rfam family: c-di-GMP-I riboswitch aptamer
About the family: GEMM was predicted in a large-scale screen for bacterial structured RNA regulatory elements.
Source: RNAcentral